GCCAGGCACGGUGGCAUGUUCCUGUAGUCCUAGCUACUCGGGAGGCUGAGGCAGGAGGAUCACUUGUGCCCAAGAGUUCUGAGCUGUAGUGCGCUAUGCUGAUCGGGUGUCUGCACUAAGUUCGGCAUCAGACCUCCUGGGAGCCGGGGACCACCAGGUUGCCUAAGGAGGGGUGAACCGGCCCAGGUUGGAAAUGGAGUAGGUCAAAACUUCCGUGCUGAUCAGUAGUGGGAUAGCGCCUGUGAAUAGCUACUGCACUCCAGCCUGGACAGCAUAGCAAGACCUUGUCUCU
RNAcentral lists this signal recognition particle RNA (292 nucleotides) under Saimiri boliviensis boliviensis (Bolivian squirrel monkey). RNAcentral describes it as "Metazoan signal recognition particle RNA (ENSSBOG00000002003.1)". It matches the Rfam family "Metazoan signal recognition particle RNA". Rfam says of the family: The signal recognition particle (SRP) is a universally conserved ribonucleoprotein. It is involved in the co-translational targeting of proteins to membranes. Lineage: Eukaryota; Metazoa; Chordata; Mammalia; Primates; Cebidae. The record is from RNAcentral.